GGAGCAUCCUGUCUGCUGGUCCCCACGUCACAUCAGAAGACUUAUCGGUUUCAUGUUGAGGCCGUCAGGAGAGAUUCUAGUCGCUAGGCCCUUUGUCGCGAAGAUUUCUAGAUAUCGUUUUCUAUAUUCGCUUUUAUUCGUAUACUUGUGAUGUGGGUUUGUAUUGUGGACUUUAUAUCGAACAUUCGGGUUUGCUACUUUGUUUUCCGCUGCGAAUAUUUCAUUA
This is a long non-coding RNA of Zingiber officinale, 226 nucleotides long. RefSeq lists it as uncharacterized. The transcript is spliced from 2 exons. The record is from RefSeq and is a predicted model, not a curated record. Lineage: Eukaryota; Viridiplantae; Streptophyta; Magnoliopsida; Zingiberales; Zingiberaceae.